RNAcentral lists this ribosomal RNA (253 nucleotides) under uncultured bacterium. Its description in RNAcentral is "partial 16S ribosomal RNA". It matches the Rfam family "Bacterial small subunit ribosomal RNA", at positions 524 to 776 of the family's 1533-position model. The record is from RNAcentral.
UACGUAGGGAGCAAGCGUUGUCCGGAAUCAUUGGGCGUAAAGCGCGCGUAGGUGGCCUCAUAAGUCCGUUGUGAAAGUCAAAGGCUCAACCUUUGAAAGCCGAUGGAUACUGUGAGGCUAGAGUCCGGAAGAGGCGAGUGGAAUUCCUGGUGUAGCGGUGGAAUGCGCAGAUAUCAGGAGGAACACCGAUUGCGAAGGCAGCCCGCUAAGCAACUAUUGACGCUGAGGCACGAAAGCGUGGGGAUCAAACAGG